GCGGACCAGGGCGUGCGCUUCACGCCUCUUCUCGUGGAGCGCCUUGCUGACCGCCAGGGUCGUGCGAUCCGUCCGGGCCGCG
This 82-nucleotide transfer RNA is filed under the name Luteitalea pratensis. RNAcentral's name for it is "tRNA-Glu". The record is from RNAcentral. Lineage: Bacteria; Pseudomonadati; Acidobacteriota; Vicinamibacteria; Vicinamibacterales; Vicinamibacteraceae.